UACGUAGGGUGCAAGCGUUAAUCGGAAUUACUGGGCGUAAAGCGUGCGCAGGCGGUUUUGUAAGUCAGAUGUGAAAUCCCCCGGGCUUAACUCGGUGAACUGCGUUUGAAACUACAAGGCUAGAGUGUGGCAGAGGGGGGUGGAAUUCCACGUGUAGCAGUGAAAUGCGUAGAGAUGUGGAGGAACACCGAUGGCGAAGGCAGCCCCCUGGGUUAACACUGACGCUCAGGCACGAAAGCGUGGGGAGCAAACAGG
RNAcentral lists this ribosomal RNA (255 nucleotides) under uncultured bacterium. RNAcentral's name for it is "partial 16S ribosomal RNA". It matches the Rfam family "Bacterial small subunit ribosomal RNA", at positions 524 to 776 of the family's 1533-position model. The record is from RNAcentral.